GGCGUAAAGAGCUCGUAGGUGGUUUGUCGCGUUGUUCGCGAAAUCUCACGGCUUAACUGUGAGCGUGCGGGCGAUACGGGCAGACUUGAGUACUGCAGGGGAGACUGGAAUUCCUGGUGUAGCGGUGGAAUGCGCAGAUAUCAGGAGGAACACCGGUGGCGAAAGCGGGUCUCUGGGCAGUAACUGACGCUGAGGAGCGAAAGCGUGGGGAGCGAACAGGAUUAGAUACCCUGGUAGUCCACGCCGUAAACGGUGGGUACUAGGUGUGGGUUUCCUUCCUUGGGAUCCGUGCCGUAGCUAACGCAUUAAGUACCCCGCCUGGGGAGUACGGCCGCAAGGCUAAAACUCAAAGAAAUUGACGGGGGCCCGCACAAGCGGCGGAGCAUGUGGAUUAAUUCGAUGCAACGCGAAGAACCUUACCUGGGUUUGACAUGCACAGGACGCCGGCAGAGAUGCCUUUCUUCCCUUCGGGGACUGGAACACAGGUGCUGCAUGGCUGUCGUCAGCUCGUGUCGUGAGAUGUUGGGUUAAGUCCCGCAACGAGCGCAACCUUCGUCUUUAGUUACCAUCAUUCAGUUGGGUACUCUAAAGAAACCGCCGGUGAUAAGCCGGAGGAAGGUGGGGAUGACGUCAAGUCCUCAUGGCCCUUACGCGCUGGGCUACACACGUGCUACAAUGGCGACUACAGUGGGCUGCAAUCCCGCGAGGGUGAGCUAAUCUCCAAAAGUCGUCUCAGUUCGGAUUGUUCUCUGCAACUCGAGAGCAUGAAGGUGGAAUCGCUAGUAA
RNAcentral lists this ribosomal RNA (786 nucleotides) under uncultured Mycobacterium sp. RNAcentral describes it as "bacterial SSU rRNA". It matches the Rfam family "Bacterial small subunit ribosomal RNA", at positions 557 to 1341 of the family's 1533-position model. The record is from RNAcentral. Lineage: Bacteria; Bacillati; Actinomycetota; Actinomycetes; Mycobacteriales; Mycobacteriaceae.